Molecule: non-coding RNA, 76 nt
Organism: Podarcis lilfordi (Lilford's wall lizard)
Lineage: Eukaryota; Metazoa; Chordata; Lepidosauria; Squamata; Lacertidae
Source: the annotation of a GenBank genome assembly
UAUGUAUAUGUAUGUGUGUGUGUGUGUGUAUGUAUAUAUAUAUAUAUAUACACACACACACAUUUUUAUUAGUUUU